AUUAUUUUGAUGAAUAUUUUUUUUGAAAUUUAUCUUCCAUUUGACAAAAAUGGUCCAUGAAGAAGCAAAGAAAUGAUGGGACACUUAGUUUAAGUAGUAUGCAGGAAUAUAUAUUGUUUUGAUGAAUAUUUUUGGGAUUUCAUUUUACUUUUGACCAAAAUGGCUUAUGAAGAAAUGAAGGGACACUUAGUUUCAGUAGCAUGCUAAAAGUUGAAAUCAUGUUUACAUACACACUCACACACAUUCAAAUAUUGUAUGUAUGAUUGUGGCUUCAUGGUUGAUUAUGACACUCUUGGCUUAAAUAUGCAAGUAGCUUAAGAAAGCAGUCCUGAAAAUUUUUUGUAACUAAGUAGCUAACUACUAGAACUAAUUCUAUAAUAUUCACAUGUUGGUCAUACACAUUGGUCUUACAUAUUUAAUCCUACUAAUAUUUACAUUUCAAGUUGUUAAGCAAUAUUAGAAUUUUUUUUAACUUUAAUGGCUGUAGAAAUCAUGUAUUUUUACCUUGUAAAACUUCUCUAGUCUAAUCAAGUGAGAAAUCAUUUUUUCUAUCUUCCUUUCUUCCGCUCACAUGGUGUUAGAGCCUGGAAAGAUAUUCUAAUCCUUUGCUGGAAAUUUUCUUUUAGCCUUCAUUGCCACAAUCCUUUCAUUACCAUUAUUUUCCUUCUCAAUCUUCUCUUUCUACCUAUUUGUUUUUUCAAUGGUGGAAAUUUCUAAAAAAACUCCUGCUGAAACAACCCAACAGCCUAUCCAUCACCCAUUAUGAUAGUCCAACCCUCCAAAUUACUCUUGAAAAACAUAAUGUUAGGAAUUUUCUUGGGUGUUCACAAGCUAUGCAACUUUUCCUUAAGAGUUGAGGAAAGAUAAGGUAUUUGCGUGGUACCAUUAAGGAACAAAAAAUCUCAGAUCCUUCUUUUACAUUAUGGGAAGCUGAAAAUUCUUAGGCCAUCUCAUGGUUGAUACUAUGUGCAACUUGAGAUCAAUAAACCUUUUCUAUUCCUUUCUACCGCCAAAGAAGUGUGGGAUGCGGGAUCUCGGAUAUAUUCCAAGAAUGGAAAUGUUUCUCAUAUGUUUGAAUUGAAGACAAUAAUUCACCAUACAAAGCAUAGAGAUCUCGUUGUGGCUACCUACUAUAACACUGGCAGUUUUAUGGCAGGAAUUGGAUUUGCAUCAACAUUUACAGAUGAAAGCACCAGAGGAUGUGGUGAUGCUGGCAGAGAUGUUGGAAUGAGAUUGAGCCUUUGGAUUUUUAGUCUAGCUCAAUCAUGAGUUUGAUGAGUUUGAUGAGCAUGGCAGGUUUGUAAGAAGCCUAAAUGCUACUUUUUUUGUGUUUAUCCCAAAGAAGAGAAGAGUAGAAGAUCUUAAGGAUGACGUGGUGUCGGGACACUUUGUGUGACUCUUUCCCCUCGUUGUAUGCCUUGGCGGCUUCAAAAGAGGCGUGGGUAGUGGAGGUUUGGGACACAUCGGGUGAGGAGGGGAGUUGAAAUCCUCGAUUCUCUAGGCCUUUCAAUGAUUGGGAGGUGGAGAUGGUAGAGAGAUUCCUUGUGACAUUACAAGGGAAGAGGGUGAUUGUUGACUUGGAGGAUAAGGUGCUUUGGAAAGAGACCAAGGAUGGGAAAUUUUCUGUUAAGUCUCUCUAUGGUGCAUUGGAACUUAGAAUUGCAGUCCCGUUUCCAAGGAGCAUCAUUUGGAGCCCUUGUGUUCCUACUAAGGUGGGCUUUUUUGCUCAAGAAGCUUUGUGGGGGAAGACUUUGACUUUGGAUCAACUAAAGAGGAGGGGGAGGUCCUUAGCUAAUAGAUAUUUCCUUUGUUGUGCUGAAGAAGAGUCUAUUAAUCAUAUUCUAAUCCAUUGUACCACGACUAGGGUUUUUUGGGAGUUAUUAUUUGCUCUUUUUGGUCUGACGUGAGUCCUCCCUUUGUUGGUUAGAGAGAGCCUUCUUGGUUGACAUGGUUCCUUUGUGAGCAAGAAGCGUAAAAUGCAUGGAUAAUAGAUCCCUUAUGUCUCUUUUAGACAAUUUGGAAGGAAAAGAAGAUCACCUUUGAUAAUGAAGAGCUUUCGAUUCAAAGGAUGAAAAAUUCUUUUGGUUGUAAUAUUUUGUCUUAGACUACGUUGUUUAUGAUUGGCUAGAUUCUAGAUGAGGGUGGGUAAGUUUUUGGUUUCCCUUUUUCUUUUUUGCUCUUGCCUUUAGGUGCUUGUUGUAUACUCUUUGUACGCUUUGGGUUGGCCUUUGGGCGCCCUUUAUUCAUUAUAUAUACUAUCUUUCUGUGCUUUCACCUAUAAAAAAAAAAAUAAAUAAAUAAAAAUAAAUAAAUAAAUAAAUAAAUAAAAUAAAAUAAAAAAGAUCUUAAGGAUGCCUAUAAGUUUUGUAGGAGGCCUUUAUAAAUUGUUGGCCAAUAUACUCAAGAAAGUUUUGGGUAAAGUUGCAUCUGAGUUUCAUAAUGCUUUUGUGGAGGGAAGACAAAUUCUGGAUGUGGUGUUAAUAGCAAAUGAGAUUGUUGAUUCAAAGUUGAAAAAAAGGGAAUGUGGGUUGUUGUGCAAGCUCAACAUUGAGAAGGCUUAUUUUUUAAUUGGGGCUUUUUGUUAGCAAUUCUUGCCAAGAUGGGAUUCAAGCAAAAAUGGCUAGAUUGGAUUAAGUGGUGAAUCUCUAUGGCCAGUGUCUCCGUUUUAGUUAAUGGCUUCCUCAUGGGUUUAUUCCGAAGUUUUAGGGGGUUGAGACAGGGGGGCCUCUCUCCCUCUAUCUGUUUGUGAUUGCUAUGGAGGCCCUUAGUAGUUUGCUUUUGAAAACCCGGGAUGUAGGUUUUCUUACGGGUUUUAAGGUAGGGGGAAGAGAGAGUGAGCUUGAGGAAAUCUCUCAUCUUCUUUUCACUUAGUAGGAAGUAGAUCAUAGAGUAAUUUUGGGAAUUGAUUAGUUGUAUAUUAGACUUUUUUCCCUUUAAUAGCUGUACAAAUCAUGUAUUUAUACCCAGUAAAACUUCUCCAGUCUUUUCAAGGAAUCGUUUUCCUUCUCUCUUCCUUUCUUCAACUCACACAAAUCUCUAAUAUGGCUAUGUUGCUAGUGAUAAUAUAAAUAAUAGAAUAAAAAUAUCGAAAGCUUUAUGUAUCCACAUGUUACUCGUUUUAAGAGUAUUCUUUUGAUAGGCAUUACUGGUUUUGAGAAUAUAUAUAAUUUGCAUGUUCAAUGAAAUUGUAUAGGAGAAUUCUUUGGUGUGGCUCAAAUGCCCUGUCAUUGGGCUCAGACCUCAAAAGUGUGACUAUCACAAGAGAUGCCUCAUACCUUGAGGGUUCUUUUGGCACCUUUCAUGCAAUCACUUUUCUUCAAGUGCUUCUAUACAGUUUAGACUAAUCAAUUCAUUUUCUAGCUUCUAUGUUCAGUGCAAUUGCCAUUGAUUUUUUUCUUUGCUUUUUUUAUUUUUAUUUUUUACUUUUUAUGUUCUUCAAAUGAACUGUAGCCUGUUUAAAUUUUAGGUGCAGCAUGUUAUUUAGCAUUCCUUGGAGACACUAGUGGUGGUUUUGAUUAUGUCCACCAGUUUUAUUUUUAAUGGGAUAUGGUGUUUUUUUAUCAGCAUUAUCAAGUUGUAAUAAUUAAUCUUUAUGUACUCAAUCAUGAUAGCUGAAGUAAGUAAGGCACCCAUUGCUGCUUCUGGGGUUGCAACUUCAGUUAAUGCAAAACCAGCUAAGGUUUCAAAGCUUUCUUCACAGAAGAAAGAUAGUGCUUCAGUCACAGCUUCUGAGAAAAAGGGUGUUGACCGUCCACCAGAGAAGGAUAGAAAGAAAGAUGUACCUCAUCCACGCAUGCAAUUUGAUGAUAAGAGUCGAGUGGAGAAGGCAAAAAGGCGUGCAGUAGUAAGGCCAAUUGAAGUUAGGAACAGAGUUGAGUUAUUUAGACAUUUACCUCAGUAUGAACGUGGAACUCUGCUUCCUGAUCUUGAGUCAAAGUUUUUCCUACUUGAUCCAAUGCAUCCUGCUGUUUACAAGGUAUUUCAUAGGAUUUUCUGUUUUAUUUUUGAGCCUGUGAUAGUGAUAUGCUCACAAGGUUAAAUUCAAUGAAAAAUACAAAGCAAUCAGUUUCUGGAAAAGCCGAACUCAAGUAAAAAUGUCUCAUUGCUUAUCAACAAAAAUAAGUCUUAUCCAAUCCAUAUGAUGUUAGAUGCCUAAAUUUAGAGCCACUGUUCCAUUCUAUGUUGGACUCAUAUGAUUGUUGACCCCAGAUGUCCAAAAUCAGAUAUGGAUGGUUAUUGAGCCCUUAGCUUUAGAUCCACUCUGUAAACAAGGUCAAACAUGUACUCUGUCUAAUUAUGAAUUUUAAUUUUCAUUAGGUUGGCUUACAGUAUUUAGCAGGAGACGUAUCUGGUGGCAAUGCUCGUUGUAUUGCAAUGCUUCAGGCAUUCCAAGAGGCCAUCAAAGACUAUUCCACUCCACCUGAAAAAACUCUUGUCAGAGACUUAACUGCUAGAUUAAGCAGUUAUGUUUCAUUUCUAAUUGAGUGCAGACCCCUUUCAAUAAGCAUGGGAAAUGCAAUUAGGUUUUUAAAAAGUCGAAUUGCCAAGUUACCUUUAUCUUUGUCUGAGUCUGAAGCGAAAGCAAGUCUUCAGUCAGAUAUCAAUCGGUUUAUAAACGAGAAGAUAGUACUUGCGGACAAAGUAAUAGUCAGGCAUGCUGUAACAAAAAUCAGGGAUGGGGAUGUCCUACUUACAUAUGGGUCUUCCUCUGCUGUUGAGAUGAUACUAUUGUAUGCCCAUGAGCUCGGCAAACAGUUUCGUGUUGUUGUAGUGGACUCUCGUCCAAAGCUUGAAGGGCAACUCUUACUUCGAAGAUUGGUGGGAAAAGGCCUUAGCUGCACAUACACCCAUAUAAAUGCUGUUUCAUAUAUCAUGCAUGAAGUUACUCGAGUUUUCCUUGGGGCUUCAUCUGUGUUGUCCAAUGGAACAGUUUACUCGAGGGUUGGGACUGCAUGUGUUUCUAUGGUUGCUCAUGCAUUCCGAGUUCCAGUGUUAGUAUGUUGUGAAGCAUAUAAAUUUUAUGAGAGAGUACAGCUUGAUUCGAUUUGCUCUAAUGAACUUGGUAUGCAUUUCCAGCUCUAGUUGAUAUUGGUGUUAUUUUAUGAUUGGCAUCAUGUUCUCCAUUGCUUUAUAGUUCAGAUAUUUUGAUUGACUCCUUGUAGGUGAUCCUGAUGCAAUUUCAAAAGUUCCUGGUAGGGAGGAAAUUAACUAUUUGGAUGAUUGGGCGAAGAGUGAAAAUUUGCAGCUUUUGAAUCUGAUGUAAGUGUUUAGGGUUUAAACGAUAGGGGACCCACACUUAUUUGUUCACCCCCACUUACCAUACAAGCGCCUUUUUUUGGAUUUUUGUUUACAGAUAUGAUGCAACACCUUCAGAUUAUGUUUCGAUGAUUAUAACAGAUUAUGGCAUGGUAAGUCAUAUUAAUAUUAAAAUUUUAUGUUUCAUACUUUUGAGAAAACACGCUUUAUUUAUCCUUAGUUUUCCAAGAGUAACCUGAUCUCUCAGUUAUUUACUAGUCCUAAAGUGUGCAUGAAUCAAUACCCCUUUGGACCGGGGCUCUCUGGUCCAACAUUAACCUUUUCUUUCCUUUGACAGCUUAAGUUAUUUAUAUUUUGCUUGAUAAUUGGUGUUCCGAUAUUAAAAUGAAGAUUAGAUUUGGAUCUUUUAAUAGUUUCAUUCAGGGUUGCGAUAAUGUUUUAGUUUUUUUGUAGUUUAGGAGGAAAUAAAACAUAUGCAGAACCCCUUUUUCGAAUUUUCCUCUUUGGUUAUGGGGCAGGAGGAUAGUACUAUCCUUUCAAGAAUGGUGGUUGUUAGUCUCUUUAUUCAUAUGAUUGUCUGCCAUUGAAAAAUAGAAAGGAAAAAGAAUAUAAAGUUCUGUGCUCUCCUUGAUUGUGGAAGUACUAGCUUCUGGCAGCUUUCCUGUCUGCAAUAUGAGAAUUUUAGGAUCUAAACCUUUUUGUGUUCAGAGGAUCUACCCCAUUUUCAGCGUCUUUUCUCUUUUCUAUAGCUUUUGUUGCAUGCACAGUUAUUAGAUAGGUCAUGGGACAGUGGCUGUAAGUUUAAAUUUGCUCUAUUUCCAUGAUGUAACUCAAUAUCUAUGGUACUUGGACUCUCCCAACAUACCCAUGUCUACACAACAUGGUAUGAGUGUGGCUGUGGGAUCCUUGUUGGAUGCUCCGACUUUGCUUCAAAUAUGACUAUUUGAUUUUAAUUUACUUAUUGAUUUUAUUUUCAACUUCCUUCGCACAUUAUUACAUUGAAAGAAGAGAGAAUUUAAGAAUAUUUAGGAAUAAAAAAAAGAUAAAAUUAAAAUAUAAAAGAUAGGAAGUUCUUAUCAAAAAUAUUUUUAUUUCUAAUUGAUUUCUUAUUAUUUUUUCAGCUUAUCCCUGUAUCCAUUUCAUAUCUAAAUUUUGAAUCCUGUUUAACAGGUUUAUUGUAUCCUAAAAUUUGGAGUCAAAAGAAUCUAACUCCUAGAUAUAUAUAUAUACCCACAUCUGACACUGUCCAAGCAAAGAUAACUCAAGUACUUAAAUAAUAUCUUCUGAGGAUAGUAUAGUAUAGUUUUAAGACAGAAUACUCAUGCUUGUAUUCUAUGCCUUGCUUCUUUGUUUUGUUUUUGCAUUUCGUAGUUUGGAAAGGUGGAAGGCACAACCUAAGGCAUGCCCCUAAGCCAAGUGAGGAGCAACUAAAGGUGGAUGUGAAUUUUUUAAAGUACUUUAAAUUUGUACAUGCAAGCAUUAAGCAUCCCCUCGUAUAUCAUGCCAAAUAUAAUUUAGAAUUCUAAUCCAAGUAAAAAAUAAUAAUAAUAAUAAUAAUCAUCAUCAAGAUUUCAAACAUUUAAAAAAACAUUGAAUAAAAAAUUAGUGUGAUUAUAUAAAAUUUCAAUAUACAAUUAAAAAUUGCAAGAAUAAUAAAAUAUAAAAUGAUAAGUAGAAAAUAUAUGAGGAUACCUAUCUAACAAGGUAAUUGCUCCUCUUACAGCUGGGGAGUUGUUGUGCCUUGAGCCUUGGCUUGGCUAUACAACUAUGAUGGAUUUGUUUUUCGGUUUAAACCAUUUUAGUUUUUUUGUGCUUCUUACAGGUCCCACCUACAAGUGUGCCUGUGAUUGUGCGAGAGUACCGGAGAGAGCACUUGUGGAUAUAGAUGGGUCAAAUGAUUCACGAGGCUUUUCAAUUUUUUGUUCCCAUGCUGAGAUCCAUCUUCCCAGCUGUUGCAGACAGGACAAUAAGUGUGGAAGAAUUUUCUUGUUAUGUCAUUUCUUCUUAGAUCUCCUUCCCUCUGGAAUAAUUCGUUCUGGUUUUGGAAUUUUCCUUUUCACCUGACUCAGUGAAGAGUGCGAUUCCUUCGCCUCUCCGGGCAGUUUUAGGGAUGCUACUACCGUAUGUUGUAACGAGUUUUUCCUUGGGUUGUAGACAAUGGUUUCAUAUCACAUGCAAGAAUUUUCUUGCAGGGAAAAAAAAAAUGUGUUUUUAGGUUCUAAAAUCUACCUUUUGGAACAUGUGGGUUCUGGUAAGUGCCUUGUUUAGCUGAUUCUAAAACAAAAUCCUCAGUUCCAAAUCCAUGGAACUGAGGCUGUGUGCCUGCACAUGUUACCAAAAUAUCCAUACACGCCACAACCCAUGAACCCUAAUCCCUGAUCCCUGAUCCCUGAACAGAAACACCAAAGGUCCUGACUUCUAAUGCCCAUUUAAAAAACAUGUUUUAGCAAGCUGUACUUGUGGAAAAAAGCCUCGAACUGGCACCAACUCUCAAGGAAUCAAUCACAUUUUCUCUUGGAGAUUUGCACAAUGUUUAAGUAAUCUCUAGUUAGAGAUCCCAUAUCCUAAUCAUAAAUGUCUAGCUAGCGACUGAAGCAGGGGUUUAAAAUUGUCAUUGUUCUUCAUUCUUGUUACAUGUCUGCUAUCAUCUUAUAUUGGUCUCCACUAAAGCUCCAAUUUCCCUUUUUCUUCCCUUCAGCUUUAUCCAUUAGCCUACGGCAGAAGUUUGAGGGGCAAAACGAAGUGUCACAUUUGAAUUGACUGUUAAAAUUUGUUUCCUUGUCCGCCUCCUUCCCAUUUAUGUUAUGCCCUUUAUAUCUAUUGUGGGCAUGAUCUGUUAUGCAGCAGUCUUUAGUAGUUGCCUUUGUGAAACUCAGCACUUUAGGGACAGGGUAGGUGUUUCGCAAUGCUCUAGUUUAAAGAAACAGGUUACGAGUUUUAUUCCCAAAUGUCGGAUUGUGGAAAAGAGAUGUAUAUGGAAUGGGAAGCAAAAUAAAUUUCCAAUCUGCCAGGAACAAAACAGCAUUUUGAGGAUAUGGUUCAGAAGUAGUUGCAAAUAAAUGAAAUGAGAUUGGUGAUGCUGAAGAGAUAAGGUUUCUGAGGUUUGAAAUGUGUUUUGAUGGUAAAUGACAUGCGGUAAAGGAGCGAUGGCUGAAGGUGGAAGGAGAGUGAUGGAUUGAGGCGGCAAAAAUAGUUGUAGAAGUGAAAAUAAAAAGGAAAAUAUAUGUUUAGCAAUUAAAAAUUUUUAUUUUAAAAACAGAAAACAAUGUGACCCAUUUAUUUUUUCAAGCAAUUUUCUAUUCUUAAGAUAAUAAUAAUAAUAAUAAUAAUAAUAAUAAUAAUAAAUAAGGUAUUUUCAAGAGAUAUUUUUUAGUUAUUUUUAGUUAUUUUCUCUUGUUUUAUGAGUUUAGAAAAUAUCUUUUAAUUAUUUUCACUUUGUUUUUUAAGUAACAAAUGCUCUAUUCCAUAUCAUUCCACCCAAACAUAUUUGUUAUUUCACUAAUGAUCAUUUAAUUCUUUGGGCGUUUUUCAAAAAUAAUUAUAAAAAUAUAGAAAAUGAAUAAAAAUUAUUUUUAAAACGUAUUUAAAAACAUAGAAAAUAAGUUAAAAACAUUUUAUAUUCUCAAAUAAAUUUUUAUUCUAUAAAACAUCAUAGAAUAAUUUCCAAAAACUGUUUUCAAAAUCUAUUUUUUAGAAUUGUUUUUAAAACACUUGCCAAACAAAGCUAGUGUUUUAUGAGAACAUCUUUUAAUUGUUUUAACUUGUUUUCAAAGAGUUAUUUUAAAAAAUAAUCAUACAAAUUUAGAAAAUGAUUAAAAAUAAGGUAUUAUAAAUAAAAAUUAUUUUUAAAAAAUUACUUAAAACCACAAAAAAUAAAUUAAGUGUUGGUACUCAACCCUUCUUGAUGUGAUGGUCCAUUAAUUAUCCAGGCUGCUAAAUUUUUCUAAGUGUCAACUCUUCAGUUGAUGGGUGCCUCGGCUAAAAAGGGUCUUUCCCAUCUGUUGUUCUUUUUCUUCCUUUAUAGGUUUCCCAAACCAAAUCUUGAUUGGCCAAAUGAGUCAACUUUCUCUUGGGGAAAUGACAUGUCGAGAAUCAAACGUUGGAGGUUUCAUGAUGCUUAUUGUUAUCCUAAGGGUUCUCCUAAUUGCGUUUUGAUGAUAACAAACCAUGGUUAAGUUGCUAAUUGGUUUGAAUCAUAAAGAAUUUCAAGUGUUAGUUUGGAAAUUCAUCAAAUGACCCAAUUGAUGCAAGAUCAAGACAAUUGGAAGACCCUUCAAUCAUAUGAAACAUAUGUAAUAUGAAUGCAUGAGUGCACUUAGGAUUUUCAUAUCUUUUCAUGCAUCUUUAAAACUCGGUUUAUGCAUUAAAACUACAUUUCCAUCUAAACUCAAGUUUUAAUGAACCUUAGGAAAAUCAUUUCAAAAUUGGCAUAUUAAUUUACCUAAAGCCUUUGUCUAAGUGUUAGAAAGGAAAAAAAAACAUAAAAAGAUAGGUUUUCGGGCUAAAAAUUGUGAACUGGUCAAGACACUAGCCAACCAGCUCAACCGACUAAGGUAUUGGUCGAGGUCCGAUUAAGAGAUGCAAAAAAUAUUUUUUCUCUUCUAGUAGCCUUGCAUUCCCGGUCGAGGGACAUGCCUUCCCGGUCGAGGUUCGAUCAAGGCUAACAGUCACCUGCCAAGCAUUAAAUGCUCUAAUGGCUAGUCAACCGGUCGACUCCCAACUCAACUGACCGAGGCUACUUUUUGGCAUUUUGGCUCCUGAGGCUAGAAACCUAUAAAUUAAGAGCUCCACUUCAUUUAUGAGCAAGAGAACACUUGUAUUUAUUUGUUUACUUACUUGUUCUUACCUUAAAAGCUCUCAUUAUUUCCUUGGUGCAUUGAAUCUUCAUUUGCAUAUUCUUUAGUGCACCUUUGUGAUUCAUCCUAGUUUUGAGUUGUAUUUGAGUCAUUGUUGAGCUAGGUUGAGAGAUUUGAACUUUUCAUUUGAGUGUUAGAAGUUUCAAGUGAGUAGAGACUUGAAGGGAUUGUGUAAGAGGCCAUUGGAGCUGAAAUCCAAGUGUAAAGGUAUUGUAAGCUUGGUUGAAGCUUCAAGUAUAGUGUAACUCUCACUCGGUUAGGAACUUGAGGAGAGUGGACGUGGGCAAAGGGUGUCGAACUAUUAUAAAAUCUGAGUUUGCUUCCUCUAACCUUAUCUCUUUAUAUUUGUGCUUUCUUUGCUUGAAUUUGUUGUGUUUGAAAAAAAAAAAUUAAAAACCUAAUUCAUCCUUUCCUCUCUUCCCUUUUGGGUGUUUUCUUUAUUAAGAUUAACAUUUAUUUUCUCAAUUGGUAUUAGAGCUAAGCAUCUUGUUUAAAAUUUAAUCGUCUAAGAGGAAAUGGUUAAUCCAUCAAGCUCAUUUUACAUUGAAAGUUUUGCAACCAAUAAACCUCCAUUUUUUACGAGAACUGAUUAUCCUUAUUGGAAAACUAAAAUGAGUUGGUUUUACAAUCAACCGAUUUAGACUUAUGGGAAAUCAUUAAAGGUGACCUAACUUUUCCUUCAGAACUAAUUGAUGGAGUCAUGGCUCCAAAACCCAAGCAAGAAUGAGAUGAGUGCGAUAGAAGAAAUUUCCAAUUAAAUGCUAAGGCUUUUUAUACUUUACAAUGUGAUAUGGAUAGAAAUGAAUAUAAUAGAAUUUGCAAUGCAAAUCAACUAAAGAAAUUUGGAGAUUACUUGAAAUAACUCAUGAAGGAACAAAUCAAGUUAAAGAGUCAAAAAUCAAUGUACUUGUUAGUUAUGAAUUAUUUUUUAUGAAAGUUAAUGAAACUAUUGUUGAGAUGAUCACCAGGUUCACUGACAUUGUCAAUGGUCUUGAAACUUUGGGAAAAACCUACAAGGAAUCAAAGAAGGUGAUGAAGAUCUUGAGGUCACUUCCAUCAAAGUAGGAUACAAAGAUCACUGCAAUUCAAGAAGCCAAAGACUUGACCAAGCUUCCUUUGGAGGAGCUUAUAGGGUCAUUGAUGACCUAUGGGAUCAAUUUGGCAAAGAAACAAUAAAAAUGGGAAGACAAAAAGAAGAAAAACAUAGCUCUUAAAUCUACAACUAAGGAAGAGAAAGAAGUUGAAAAAGAAAAACAAAGUAAAGAAGAUGAAGACUUAGCCCUAAUCACAAGAAAUUUCAACAAGUUCAUGAGGGAUAAAAAGUUUAAAGAAAGAAGGUUCACUUUUAGAAGAAACUUCUUUAAAAAUGAAUCUUCAUCCUAUGGUGACAAUGAGAGAUGAGAAGGGAAAAGAGACUUAGUGUGCCUCAAGUGCAAGAAACCGAGACACAUUAAAUAUGAUUGUCCUCUCUACAAAACUGAAACCAAGAGAAGAAAGAAGAAGACAAUGAUGGUCACUUGGAGUGAAAGUGAAGAUGAAUCAUCUGAAGAAGAAAAUGAGAAAAAAAGUGGAAAACAUGUGUUUCAUGACAAUAGACGAACUUGAUAAGGUAAACUCUAACAUGAGCGAUGAAAAUAUAUAUGAUGUUUUCAAGAAUUGUACGAGGAUUUUGAAAAACUUGGUUUGAAAAAUAUUUUUCUCAAAAAGAAAGUUCAACAACUUGAAAAAGAACUAAGAGCAGUAAAAGAAAAAUUUUCAAAUGUUGAUGAUUUUAAAACUUAUAUUGAAAAAGAGAAUGAGUUUUUAAGAAAGAAAAAUGAAUGGUUGACCUCCUCUCUUUCAAUAUUCUCUUGUGGACAAAUUUUUUUUUUUUUUAAAUGAUUCUAGCUAGCCAAAAAUAUAUUUUUCAAAAAAAAAUGGCUAGGAUUCAAAUAUUUAAAGAAUCAAAAGUAUUUUAAGAACUAUUUCGUAAAGGAAUCCACAAGUGCAAGUCCUUUCACUACUUGCAAAUUUUGUGGAAAAAGAUGACACAUUAGUAACACAUGCCUUUUAAGAAAAGGUUUUCAAAAGAAUUUAAAUGCAAAAACUAAAAAGAUUUGGGUUGAAAAAUCCAAGGUCGCCAACCCUGAAAGACCCAAGAAGAUAUGAGUACUUAAAUCAACUUGAGUUAUGUGUCAUAGGGUUCAAAGAAGGAUAAAUGGUUCUUGAAUAGUGGAUGCUCAAUACACAUGAUCGGAGAUGAAUCCAAGUUUGCUUUUCUUACAAAGAAAAAUGAAGGAUAUGCUACCUUUGGAGACAAUGCAAAAAAGAAAGAUCAUUGGUCAAGGCAACAUUGGUAAUGACACAUCUUCUCUAAUUGAAAAUGUUUUAUUAGUAGAUGAUUUAAAACACAAUCUUUUAAGCAUUAGUCAAUUUUGUGACAAAUGUUUUAAAGUGAUUUUUGAAACAACUCAUUGCAUUAUCAAGGAUAUUCAAAAUAAAAAAACCAUCUUCAUGGGCCAUAGAUGUGAUAAUGCUUGCACUAUAAAUAUUUCAAAAUAUGAUGGUCAUGAUAAAUGAUUUUCAAGCAUGCAUGAUCAAAGUUAGUUGUGACAUAGGAGGUUGGGACAUGCUAACAUGGACCUCAUUUCCGAACUCAACAAAGAUGAACUUGUUAGAGGUCUUUCCAAAAUAAAUUUUCAAAAAGAUAAAGUUUGUGAAGCUUGUCAAGUGGGAAAGCAAAUCAAAAACUCUUUUAAAAACAAAAAACUUUAUUUCCACAACUAGGCCACUUGAGUUAUUGCAUAUGGGUUUAUUUGGUCUCUCUAGGACACCAAGUCUUGGAUGAAAGUCUUUUGCUUAUGUUAUUAUGAAUGACUUAUCUAGAUACACAUGGGUCUUAUUUUUAAGUAAAAAAAAAAUGAAACUUUUUAUGAGUUUUUAAAGUUUUGCAAUAAGGUUCAAAAUGAAAAAGGUUUUGGAAUUACUUGUAUAAGAAGUGAUCAUGGAAGAGAAUUUGAAAAUGUUGAUUUUGAAAAUUAUUGCAAUAAGAAUGGAAUUGACUACAAUUUUUCAGAUCGUAGAACUCCUCAACAAAAUAGGGUAGUUGAAAGGAAAAAUAUAACCAUUUAAGAGAUGGUAAGAACCAUGCCAAAUGAAAACAACCUACCAAAAUAUUUUUAGGCUGAAGCAAUUAACACGUCUAGUUAUGUUUUAAAUAGAGUUUUAUUAAGGCCCAUACUUAAAAAAACUCCCUAUGAGCUUUGGGAAAACAAGAAACCCAACAUUAGCUAUUUCAAAGUCUUGGAUGUCAAUUGAUAGCAUGAACUUUGAUUUAUUUGUUGCUAUUUCUUUAGGAGAUUCUGUUGUGGUUAAUAAAAUACUUAGAGAUUGUUGUGUGAUGAUUAGGUAUAGAGAUAUGACAGUUGACUUAGUACUUCUUGACCUUUAGGAUUUUGAUGUGAUUUUGGGGAUGGAUUGGUUAGCUUCAUACCAUGCAUCUAUUGAUUGUUUUGGGAAAAGAGUGACAUUUAGCAUUCCUAGUCAGCCUGAUUUUAGUUUUGAGGGGAAGCAUGUGGACAAACCACUACGUAUGAUCUCAGCCUUGCGAGCUAGUUCUUUACUUAGGAAAGGUUGUCAAGGCUUUUUGGCUUAUGUUGUGAAUGAGGAAAAUGAUUUAAAGUUGGAAGACAUACCCAUUGUAAGAGACUAUCCUGAUAUCUUUCCAGAUGAUCUACCUGGCUUGCCACCAGAGAGGGAGGUGGAGUUCACCAUUGAUUUGGCACCAAAGACAACUCCUAUCUCUAAGGCCCCUUACAGGAUGACACCUAUGAAGCUUAAGGAGUUGAAGAUUCAACUUCAGGAGUUGUUAGAUAAGGGCUUCAUUAGGCCUAGUGUUUCACAUUGGGGAUCUCCUGUUUUAUUUGUAAAGAAGAAUGAUGGAUAUAUGAGACUCUACAUUGAUUAUAGAGAGUUGAAUAAGGUGACAAUGAGGAACAAGUAUCCCCUUCCUCGGAUUGAUGAUUUGUUUGAUCAACUUCAGGGUGCAUGUGUGUUCUUUAAGAUUGAUCUUCGGUAUGGUUAUCAUCAUUUAAGGGUUGGAAGUGAAGAUGUACCCAAGAUUGUUUUUCGAACUAGAUAUGGACAUUAUGAAUUUUUGGUUAUGCCUUUUGGUUUGACUAAUGCACCUGCUGUUUUUAUGGACUUAAUGAAUAGGGUAUUCAAGCCCUAUCUAGAUCAAUCUGUGGUGGUUUUUAUAGAUGAUAUUUUGGUGUACUCAAAUAGUAGGGAGGAACAUGAGCGCCAUUUGAGUAUUGUAUUGUAGACUCUUAGAGAUAAGCAAUUGUAUGAUAAACUAAAGUGUGAUUUCUGGUUAGACAAAGUCUCUUUCCUUGGGCAUGUGGUGACUAAGGAUGACAUCUCUAUUGACCCUGGAAAGAUAGAUGUUGUGUCAAAUUGGAGGAGACCUAAUACUGUGACCGAGAUUCGAAGUUUCUUAGGACUGGCUGGUUAUUAUAGGCGGUUUAUUUAGGGGUUCUCUAAGAUCGCCCUACAUCUGACCAGGUUGACUUAGAAAGGGGUUAAGUUUGAGUGGUUUAAUGAUUGUGAAUGUAGUUUUCAAUAGUUAAAGAACAAAUUGGUGACAACUCCUAUUUUGACUAUCUCUUCAGGCUUAGGAAGGUUUGUGGUGUACAGUGAAGUCUCUCGUCAGGGUUUGGUUUGUGUUCUUAUGCAACAUGGGAAAGUUGUAGCUUAUGCUUCUAGACACUUAAAGCCUUAUAAAUGAAAUUAUCCUACUCAUGAUUUGGAGUUAACUGUAAUGAUUUUUGCAAUUAAGAUCCGGAUUUCUUUUUGGUGAAACUUGUGAGAUAUUCACAGAUCAUAAGAGUUUGAAGUAUUUAUUUUUCCAAAAGGAAUUGAACAUGAGACAGAGGAGGUGGAUUGAACUACUUAAAGACUAUGACUACAUUAUUUAGUAUCACCGACGGAAUGCGAAUGUUGUGGCUGAUGCCUUGAGCAGGAAAUCUGUUGGUUCCUUAGUAGCUAUUAGAGGUUGUCAGAGUCAAUUAUUAGAAGAUUUGAGGAGUUUACAAGUCCAUAUAAGAGUUUUGGACUCGGGAGCUCUUGUGGUGAACUUUAGAGUGCAACCAAACUUGGUUAGGAGAAUUAAGACCCUAUAAAAGAAUGAUAUGCAAUUAGUGCAACUUAUAGAGGAAGUUAAGAGAGGUAGUAAGCCUGAAUUUGUCUUAUCAGAUGAUGAGAUUUUGAGAUUUGGGACUAGACUUUGUGUCCCAAAUGAGGAAGAUUUAGGGAGAGAGCUAUUGGAGGAAGCUCAUUGUCCUAAGUUUACGAUCCACCUAGGAGGGACGAAAAUGUAUAGAGAUUUGAAGCAAAAUUAUUGGUGGCCAGGUAUGAAGCGAGAUAUUGCAAGAUUUGUGGCUCAAUGUUUGGUGUGCCAACAGGUGAAAGCAAAGCAUCAACGACCAACAGGAUCAUUACAACCUUUCUAUUCCUGAAUGGAAAUGGGAACAUAUUACCAUGAACUUUGUGACAAGGUUGCUAAGAACUUUAGGGGGUAAUAAUGCUAUUUGGGUAAUUGUGGAUCGAUUGACAAAGUCUGCUCAUUUUCUGCCUAUGAAAGUCAAAUUUUCUAUGGAUUAUUUGGUUUCUCUAUAUAUUAAGGAGAUUGUGAGAAUGCAUGGUGUACCUGUUUCUAUAGUAUCUGACAGAGAUCCUCGUUUCACUUCUAGAUUUUGUCAUAGUUUACAAAAAACAUUAGGUAUGAAGUUGAGUUUUAAUAUUGUUUUUCAUCCGCAGACUGAUGGUCAAUUAGAGAGAGUAAUUCAGGUCUUAGAAGAUUUGUUGAGAGCUUGUGCUUUGGACCUAAAAGGUAAUUGGGAUGAUUAUUUGCCCCUAGUAGAGUUUGCUUAUAAUAAUAGCUUUCAAGCUAGCAUUGGGAUGACACCUUUUGAGGCGUUAUAUGGUAGGAGAUGUCGAUCUCCUGUUUGUUGGGAUGAUGUUGGAGAGAAGAAACUUUUGGGGCCUGAACUUGUGCAGUUGAUUGUUGAAAAGGUCUCUUUAAUUAAAAAAAAGAUUGAAAACAGCACAAAGAAGACAAAAGAGUUAUGUUGAUAAUCGCAAACGAGAUUUGGAAUUUGAGGUGAGUGAUCAUGUUUUCUUGAAAGUUUCAUCUAUGAAGCUUAUAAUGAGAUUUGGAAGAAAAUGGAAACUCAGUCUUCGUUUUGUGGGACCAUUUGAGGUAUUAGAAAGAAUAGGCACUUUAGCUUAUAAAGUGGUUUUGCCUCCAAGUCUAUCUAAGAUUCAUAAUGUAUUCCAUGUUUCGACUUUGAGGAAAUAUAUUUAUGAUCUCUCUCAUGUUUUGGAGUUGGAGCCUAUUCAAAUUUUUGAGGACUUAACCUAUGAAGAUGUAACGACGCGCUCCCAACCGUGUGGAUAUUGUCCGCUUUGGACCCAAAGGGGCCUUAAAACGUUUCUACUUGGUUAAAAGGAACCUCUACAUAUAUAGCGCCAAGAACUUUCUCCUAUAUCCGAUGUGGGACAUCACAAACACCUUCUCCCCCCCAUGCAGAUACAACGUCCUCGUUGUGUCCUAUGGGAUUAUGGGGCCAAACAAACCCUCACACCGAGGUUGGAUAUCGGCUCUAAUACCAUUUGUAAUGACUCGCUCCUAACCUUGUAGAUAUUGUCCGCUUUGGACCCAAAGGGGUCCUCAUGACUUUAAAACGUGUCUACAGGGUUACGAUGAGUCCAUACUUAUAUAGCGUCAUAAACUUUCCCUCAUAUCCGAUGUGGGAUGUCACAAACACCCCCUCAUGCAGACACAACGUCCUUGUUGUGUCCCACGGGAUUAUGGAGCCAAAUAGACAAACACCCUUACGGGGUCAAACAAAUCCCACACCGAGGUUAGGAUCGGCUUUGAUACCAUUUGUAACGACCCGCUCCCAACCAUGUAGAUAUUGUCC
RNAcentral lists this long non-coding RNA (17074 nucleotides) under Vitis vinifera (wine grape). Its description in RNAcentral is "long non-coding RNA (VVIN_LNC004763)". The record is from RNAcentral. Lineage: Eukaryota; Viridiplantae; Streptophyta; Magnoliopsida; Vitales; Vitaceae.